This 1010-nucleotide ribosomal RNA is filed under the name Salmonella enterica subsp. enterica serovar Mikawasima. Its description in RNAcentral is "bacterial SSU rRNA". It matches the Rfam family "Bacterial small subunit ribosomal RNA", at positions 1 to 1006 of the family's 1533-position model. The record is from RNAcentral. Lineage: Bacteria; Pseudomonadati; Pseudomonadota; Gammaproteobacteria; Enterobacterales; Enterobacteriaceae.
AAGAGUUUGAUCAUGGCUCAGAUUGAACGCUGGCGGCAGGCCUAACACAUGCAAGUCGAACGGUAACAGGAAGCAGCUUGCUGCUUCGCUGACGAGUGGCGGACGGGUGAGUAAUGUCUGGGAAACUGCCUGAUGGAGGGGGAUAACUACUGGAAACGGUGGCUAAUACCGCAUAACGUCGCAAGACCAAAGAGGGGGACCUUCGGGCCUCUUGCCAUCAGAUGUGCCCAGAUGGGAUUAGCUUGUUGGUGAGGUAACGGCUCACCAAGGCGACGAUCCCUAGCUGGUCUGAGAGGAUGACCAGCCACACUGGAACUGAGACACGGUCCAGACUCCUACGGGAGGCAGCAGUGGGGAAUAUUGCACAAUGGGCGCAAGCCUGAUGCAGCCAUGCCGCGUGUAUGAAGAAGGCCUUCGGGUUGUAAAGUACUUUCAGCGGGGAGGAAGGUGUUGCGGUUAAUAACCGCAGCAAUUGACGUUACCCGCAGAAGAAGCACCGGCUAACUCCGUGCCAGCAGCCGCGGUAAUACGGAGGGUGCAAGCGUUAAUCGGAAUUACUGGGCGUAAAGCGCACGCAGGCGGUCUGUCAAGUCGGAUGUGAAAUCCCCGGGCUCAACCUGGGAACUGCAUUCGAAACUGGCAGGCUUGAGUCUUGUAGAGGGGGGUAGAAUUCCAGGUGUAGCGGUGAAAUGCGUAGAGAUCUGGAGGAAUACCGGUGGCGAAGGCGGCCCCCUGGACAAAGACUGACGCUCAGGUGCGAAAGCGUGGGGAGCAAACAGGAUUAGAUACCCUGGUAGUCCACGCCGUAAACGAUGUCUACUUGGAGGUUGUGCCCUUGAGGCGUGGCUUCCGGAGCUAACGCGUUAAGUAGACCGCCUGGGGAGUACGGCCGCAAGGUUAAAACUCAAAUGAAUUGACGGGGGCCCGCACAAGCGGUGGAGCAUGUGGUUUAAUUCGAUGCAACGCGAAGAACCUUACCUGGUCUUGACAUCCACAGAAGAAUCCAGAGA